UACGGGAGGCAGCAGUGGGGAAUAUUGCACAAUGGGGGGAACCCUGAUGCAGCGACGCCGCGUGAAGGAAGAAGUAUCUCGGUAUGUAAACUUCUAUCAACGGGGAAGAAGAUGACGGUACCCGAAUAAGAAGCCCCGGCUAACUACGUGCCAGCAGCCGCGGUAAU
RNAcentral lists this ribosomal RNA (167 nucleotides) under uncultured rumen bacterium. Its description in RNAcentral is "partial 16S ribosomal RNA". It matches the Rfam family "Bacterial small subunit ribosomal RNA", at positions 340 to 524 of the family's 1533-position model. The record is from RNAcentral.